This 253-nucleotide ribosomal RNA is filed under the name uncultured bacterium. RNAcentral describes it as "partial 16S ribosomal RNA". It matches the Rfam family "Bacterial small subunit ribosomal RNA", at positions 524 to 776 of the family's 1533-position model. The record is from RNAcentral.
UACGUAGGGGGCAAGCGUUGUCCGGAAUCAUUGGGCGUAAAGAGCGUGUAGGCGGCCCGGUAAGUCCGCUGUGAAAGUCCAGGGCUCAACCCUGGAAUGCCGGUGGAAACUGUCGGGCUAGAGUCCGGAAGAGGCGAGUGGAAUUCCUGGUGUAGCGGUGAAAUGCGCAGAUAUCAGGAGGAACACCAAUGGCGAAGGCAGCUCGCUGGGAUGGUACUGACGCUGAGACGCGAAAGCGUGGGGAGCAAACAGG